This 1886-nucleotide long non-coding RNA is filed under the name Monodelphis domestica (gray short-tailed opossum). RNAcentral's name for it is "lncRNA (ENSMODG00000048765.1)". Lineage: Eukaryota; Metazoa; Chordata; Mammalia; Didelphimorphia; Didelphidae. The record is from RNAcentral.
CUUUAUUCUCUGGGCUUUUUUUAAAAAUUACCAUGGUAUUUUCUGCUUUGAAGGAAUUGUCAACAGUACUCAAUGAGUAUUUGAGUUAGUAAUUUAACUUAUAAAGUUCCUACUAUAUGCAAGAUGUUCUACACUCUGGAGAUAUCAACAUCCAUAUGAUAUGAGCCCUACUCUCAAGUAUUUCAGGAUCCAGUGGGUAUGAAUAACUCUAUAGAAAUAACUGUUAGAGAGGGGAAAAUGAGAGAAGGGUCAAGAAAAGAAUAGAGAAAGUGCUAUGAGGAAUUUGAGAUGGAAGAGAUCAUUUUCAUCUGUAGAAGGGGAAGGAGGAGGAGAUUCUAAAUAAAUAUUUGAAAUUUUUCAUUCAAGUCAUUUGGAGAAGAGGUCACAAUGGAUAACUGCUCAUGGCCAGGAUCUAAGAUAAAUUAUUCUAAAAACUAAAGAUAUAAUACUUUAGUCUUAGCCUCUAAAUUGGUCCUAGUAUUCUCAGGCUAUUCCCAUGGGAACAUCCCACUUUUCCUUCAGAUUACCAGACUUUACCAAAAAAAAAAGAUGCUUCCAGGGUGGUUUGUCAAGUUCCCCAAAACCUCAAAGCACUUCUUUGUUCAUCAGCCACAUGUAGCCAGUUCCUGAGUGGGUAAUCAGCAGCUAUACAAGAGCUCCUAAGAGACAAAGGUGAUGAACUGCAAAUCAGAAGACCCAAGUGUAAAGAACACAGCUCAACAACUGCAAACAACGUACAUGUCAUAUGUAGUUCCCAAGAACAAAUAAAUUGUAGCUUGGAGGAAAAAAUUCAUAAAUGGCAAUCAACCAAGAAACUUUUGUAGACCAAGCUACAGGACAUUCAGGUAGUAUUGCAAGCAUUUUACCCUCUACCAUCUUGUCCUGAAAACAUGGCCUCCAAGAAUGAGCCCUCCUCCUCCAAAAGGCUUGGGGUUGGAAGAGGUUUGUUGCCAGUCAUGAACACUGCUACUGGAUGUCAAAAACGGCAGGCUCUUACUUUUCCUUCUAUAGUUGAAGGGAGUCAUGACUCUCAGGUUGAAGCAAUGCCUAGCAUGUUGAAGUUACUAUCCCCAGAAGCUCUUUUGCAGAAAAUUCCUUUGAAGAGCACUAAUGCUCUCCUUCAAGAGAAGCCAGAAGAAAGUCUUCUUCCUUUAUCAAAUGUUCAGAGGGAAUCAUCAGAUGAUGACACCCCAAACCCUCUAAAGGAAAUGGGGGGUCCAUCAGCAGCAUCUGUUGAAAGAGACAUGCCAUUCAACACCAAGGAGAUGCAUUCAGAAGAGAGAGAGGAAGAACUACAACAGCUCAUAAUGAAACUGAAGGAUUCCUUGUCUGUCCAAGUACAAACAGAUCAACCAUCUUCAGCAAAGCUGGAUCUGUAUUUCCAAGCAGCUGAAGUGAGCAAGGCCUUUUCUAACCUCAUUGACCAAUUGACCUUAAGAACCUGGAAAUGAGAGGAUUCUGGGACCAUUUUAAUUUCUUCAAGACACAGUUUCUUCACCUAUAAAAUGGAGGUAAUCAUCCAAGACUCAAAGGACUCAACAAAAAAAAGGCUAUCUGCCAUCAUAGAAAGAACUGACAGAGUCUGAAUGCAGAUCAGAACAUGCCAUUCUUCACUUUAUUCCUUCAUGAAUUUCUCUUUAGUAUAAGUGAUGUGUGUCUUCUUUCACAACAUGACAAAAGAAUGGAACUAUGUAUUUCAUGAUAUUGCAUGUACAAUCUAUAUUGCAUCCACCAUAUGGAGGGGGAGGGAUGAAGAAGGGAGAGAAGAGGAAGGGAAGCAGAGAAUAGAGAUUAUAAAAUGUGAGAAAGUGAUUAUUAAAGUUCUAUCUACAUGGAAUCUGGAAAAUUAAAAUAAAAGAUAAAGAAUAUGAGAAAGGACUAUGAAA